CAGAGCGUAGCUUAGAUGGCUAAAGCAUCAGGUCGGGGAUCUGAAGAUCGCGAGUUCAAGUCUCGCCGCUCUGA
This 74-nucleotide transfer RNA is filed under the name bacterium. RNAcentral describes it as "tRNA-Pro". It matches the Rfam family "tRNA". Rfam says of the family: Transfer RNA (tRNA) molecules are approximately 80 nucleotides in length. Their secondary structure includes four short double-helical elements and three loops (D, anti-codon, and T loops). The record is from RNAcentral.